RNAcentral lists this ribosomal RNA (482 nucleotides) under Salmonella enterica. Its description in RNAcentral is "partial 23S ribosomal RNA". It matches the Rfam family "Bacterial large subunit ribosomal RNA", at positions 911 to 1389 of the family's 2925-position model. RNAcentral also lists the same sequence under 1 other name. The record is from RNAcentral. Lineage: Bacteria; Pseudomonadati; Pseudomonadota; Gammaproteobacteria; Enterobacterales; Enterobacteriaceae.
UGUUUCGGCUAGGGGGCCAUCCCGGCUUACCAACCCGAUGCAAACUGCGAAUACCGGAGAAUGUUAUCACGGGAGACACACGGCGGGUGCUAACGUCCGUCGUGAAGAGGGAAACAACCCAGACCGCCAGCUAAGGUCCCAAAGUCAUGGUUAAGUGGGAAACGAUGUGGGAAGGCCCAGACAGCCAGGAUGUUGGCUUAGAAGCAGCCAUCAUUUAAAGAAAGCGUAAUAGCUCACUGGUCGAGUCGGCCUGCGCGGAAGAUGUAACGGGGCUAAACCAUGCACCGAAGCUGCGGCAGCGACGCUGAUGCGUUGUUGGGUAGGGGAGCGUUCUGUAAGCCUGCGAAGGUGGCCUGUGAGGGUUGCUGGAGGUAUCAGAAGUGCGAAUGCUGACAUAAGUAACGAUAAAGCGGGUGAAAAGCCCGCUCGCCGGAAGACCAAGGGUUCCUGUCCAACGUUAAUCGGGGCAGGGUGAGUCGACC